RNAcentral lists this ribosomal RNA (441 nucleotides) under uncultured bacterium. RNAcentral's name for it is "bacterial SSU rRNA". It matches the Rfam family "Bacterial small subunit ribosomal RNA", at positions 91 to 504 of the family's 1533-position model. The record is from RNAcentral.
AUGAGUGGCGAACGGGUGAGUAACACGUGAACGUAACCUCGCCCCCUUCUUCUGGAAUAACCGCAUAGAAAGUGUGGCUAAGUACGGGAUAUUCUGGGUCUGUCGCAUGGGUGGGCCUGGGAAAGAUUGCGUCCUUUUUUGGUGUUUUUGGUGGGGGAUGGGCUCGCGGCCUAUCAGCUUGUUGGUGGGGUGAUGGCCUACCAAGGCGGUGACGGGUAGCCGGCCUGAGAGGGUGGACGGUCACACUGGGACUGAGACACGGCCCAGACUCCUACGGGAGGCAGCAGUGGGGAAUAUUGCACAAUGGGCGCAAGCCUGAUGCAGCGACGCCGCGUGAGGGAUGGAGGCCUUCGGGUUGUGAACCUCUUUCGCCAGUGAAGCAGGCCUGCCUCGUUUGUGGGUGGGUUGACGGUAGCUGGAUAAGAAGCGCCGGCUAACUAC